Molecule: transfer RNA, 76 nt
Filed under: Candidatus Eiseniibacteriota bacterium
Lineage: Bacteria; Candidatus Eiseniibacteriota
Description: tRNA-Phe
Rfam family: tRNA
About the family: Transfer RNA (tRNA) molecules are approximately 80 nucleotides in length.
Source: RNAcentral
GCGACCCUAGCUCAGUUGGUAGAGCAACGGACUGAAAAUCCGUGUGUCCCCGGUUCGAUUCCGGGGGGUCGCACCA